RNAcentral lists this ribosomal RNA (253 nucleotides) under uncultured bacterium. RNAcentral's name for it is "partial 16S ribosomal RNA". It matches the Rfam family "Bacterial small subunit ribosomal RNA", at positions 524 to 776 of the family's 1533-position model. The record is from RNAcentral.
UACGUAGGGUGCAAGCGUUGUCCGGAAUUAUUGGGCGUAAAGAGCUCGUAGGCGGCUUGUCGCGUCGGCUGUGAAAACCUGGGGCUCAACCCCGGGCCUGCAGCCGAUACGGGCAAGCUAGAGUUCGGUAGGGGAGACUGGAAUUCCUGGUGUAGCGGUGAAAUGCGCAGAUAUCAGGAGGAACACCGAUGGCGAAGGCAGGUCUCUGGGCCGAUACUGACGCUGAGGAGCGAAAGCGUGGGGAGCGAACAGG